Molecule: long non-coding RNA, 1384 nt
Organism: Seriola aureovittata
Lineage: Eukaryota; Metazoa; Chordata; Actinopteri; Carangiformes; Carangidae
Exons: 3
Source: RefSeq, a predicted model, not a curated record
GAGAUGUAAUCAGCAGGGGGCUUAACAAAUCUAUUUGGAAAUAUAUGCAAUCAUAGGGAAAUAUCAGAUUCAGAAGAGGCUGAAAAACAAAAAGUGGAGAUGACAGCUGCUGUUUUAAAGCCAACGUGGGUUGUAAUGAAAAAAUGAUUGGGAUUAUAUUUUCUCUCUACCUCUUCCUGUCUCAAUUUCACUUUCUAACCAACAUCUGCUCUCUGGUUCUGUUCCUGAAGGUCACAUGAACUUGUAUCUCUCUUUUUCUCUCCUUCUCUCUCUCUCCUCCUUUCAAAAAAUUCCCAACACCUCCACCAAACAGCGUGACCAUGAGAAUGUGAGUGAAGCUGAAUUAGCUCAAUUACUGUGUAAAAAAACAACAACCCACAGGGGCCUGUCGAGACCACCGUCCAUUUCCAUUAGCCUCUCAGCAUGUGUAAGCAUACGGGGGUGCACAUGUGCAGAAGUGAGAUAUGAGACAUAGUGUGAGAGGACCAUAGCUUUAUCAUGUUUUCAUGCUGUGAAAGUGAGUGUGUGUUUUCUCACUGCAUGUACAUGUAGCACUGUGACUGCGCCUGUAGUUUGGACCAGAUUAAAAGGGGGCUACUUGUGAGUUUUCUCUACCGCUCAAUGUGGUUUCUGUCUCUUCACAAGAGCUUCGGCUGUCACUGCUUACAAGACAAGAGAUUACAAUACACCCUCCGAGCAGUGCUACACGUUCAGGGCAGAUUGACGGCUACAGUGAAUCAUCGGGAAGUGACGAGACGGGCCGAGGCUAGCUGGUUAGCGUGCUAACUUUAGUAGAAGAAAAGAUGUGAUAGAGCCAAGGCUUAACAUUGGUGUUGCUGGAGACAGCUCUUGUUACCUGGAUGAAAACAACAAAGACCACUCAGAAGAUUCAGGCACUGACUUCAACCCGCUCAGCUGCUAACUAGCUAGCCGAGGCUCAGGGUGAGACAUGUCUGGGGAGGAGGAUCGGCGAGCCACUAUCACCACUGGCCAGAUCCAUAUACAAUUUCCAAGGCCAAGCCGAUGAUUGGUUGACCGAACACUCUGCUGCUCGGUCCCGCCCACUGAACACCGUCAGUCCAGACAGCCACAUCAGAGCUUCUUCAAUGAGAAGGAGGGGAGAUAAGGUCUACAAAAAAGUCUCUAUAUGUCUAUAGUCUCUAUAUAUGUGAGAAUUUGGGUGAACUUACACAUUAAAGUGACACAGAAGUAGCCAGAGACAAAGUGUUUGUGUUUAUGUUAUGUCUGUUCCUGAGAAAGAUUGGGUCAAAGAGGAAAACCAUGUGAGAUAAAAGCACAAAGUCAGAGAGUGAGAAGCUUAGAAUCAACACACCCCCUCAGACACACUAAAAGGAAACUGGAGGAGGAUUGAUGGUCUGGUGUU